Molecule: long non-coding RNA, 2209 nt
Organism: Vicia villosa (hairy vetch)
Lineage: Eukaryota; Viridiplantae; Streptophyta; Magnoliopsida; Fabales; Fabaceae
Exons: 6
Source: RefSeq, a predicted model, not a curated record
UUUAAAUAAAUUUCAAUAGUUUUUCUGAUUGUCUAAUAUUAUUUAUUUCACGAAGGUGCAUACAAAUGUAAUUAAAAAUCAUGGUCCACUUCAAGACCUGCAAAUAUGGAUACCUGGAAACAUCCUACGGUUAUCAGAUUGGAUGAACGCGGAUGGCCCUUCGGUUCAUGAACCCUUAUGUCUUCAUAUCUUAGUAGGAUUCAAAGUUGAAGGAAGAAAAUAUGUCCCUAGAGAUGAUUAGAGCGUUUUUAGCAUAAGCAACAACAACAGUCAUGGGUCAACGGGUCUUACUCCUAUCUGCACAAAGAAGCUAUUUGUUGGAGGUAUAGCAUCCACAGUUACCGAGAGUGAUUUUAAGAAUUACUAUGAUCAAUAUGAUAUUUGCAAACUUCAUACACUCAAAGCUUGACUGAAAUUUACUUUUAUUCUCAUCUCAUAGGUAAUUUUUCAAUUGAGUUUGUAUUUGUAAUUUUAUCUGCAACACUAAAAAGAGUUUGAAGUUUAAAACCUCCAUGGAUGCUUCUAAAGAGCAAGUAAUUGAUGCUAUGAAGAAGUUAUCUUCGCAUAUCAACAACCCUGUAAAAUUUAGCAAGACUACACAGUUUUCCAUUCAGUUGAUUAAUUUAGAAAGUGUUAAGUCUUCCAUUAGUGUUUUUUUUGUUGUGAUAUUAGAAGAUGCAAUGUUGUCGCCCAAACCUUGUACGGAUCCUUCCAUGUGGGCAGAUUAUCAUUCUUUGUUCUCAGCAGCGCAAGAUGCGAAAGAAGUAAGUUUAACAUUUGUUCAAAUUAUUCAUAGUUUUUGCAAUUGUUUUUUAGUAAAUAUUUUGUUGACAAUGUUUUGUAUUUAUUUGUAGCACUUAAAUAAGAAGCAGAAAAAUUAAUUUCCCUCGUGGAUAAUUAGUGUUGUGGUAGAAAAUGAUUUAUAUAAAGAGUUAGUCUCUCUAUAGCUACUUCCUGAUCUACUUUCAAAUAGAAACUCAAACCUUGUACUUCUUUCUGCUUCAUAAACAAUGGCUAUGUAUGUAUAGUCUUUUGCAGUGAAGUGCUUCUAAAUCAUAUGUUUGAAUAGUUAACUAUUUGUUUAUUGGUAACAUUGUCAGCUUUGGUUGUGUGAAUAUUCCAAUUGUUUUAGGCAUGAUAGUUCUCAUUAUUUUACUUUGUAUGAUAUUGUAUUAUAGUGUUCAUAGAAAAAUAACUUUAAAAAGAGAGAUGGAAAGUUCAUUGGUCUUAUCAGGUGCUCCGGUGAAUUUUACUUUCCACGAUUUGCAAAUCAAGACAAGCAAUUUUUCGCAACUUAUAGGAACAGGUGGAUUUGGAUGUGUGUAUAAAGGAAGCUUAGGAGAUAGUACCUUAGUGGCGAUGAAGAAACUUGACAAGAUUUUUCCUUAUGGAGAAAAAUAAUAUAUUACUGAAAUAAACAUGAUUGGCUCAAUGCAUCUUAUGAAUUUGGUUCGUCAGAGCCUUUUAGUUUACAAGUUCAUGAAGAACAGUUCAUUAGAUCAGUGGAUCUGCCCUUCGAUUCGAGGGUGAGAUAGAUGGCUUGGUAGGAUAAGAUUGCUCUCACUCCUUAUUGACCAUUCAUGACACGCGGGGUUAAAAUAGAAUAGUAGUGGUAAUGGCUGGAAAUAUAGUGAGGGGCUUAGGCUUUGAAGUCUAUGAUCGGCUUUGGCGGUGUUUGCGUGAUUCGAGGUGCUGCUUCAUAAGGAUUACUACUUAAGGAGUAGCAUGAUAUUGGUGCAUGAGUAAGACAUGUCCCAAUUUGUUGAGAUUCAUGAGUCACGACAAAGCAUUUUUGAUCAUUGACAUUAGAGCCGUUACCGACAACAUCCCACCUGAUUUAUAUCUUAGAAAUAUUGUCGAGUUCUUCGAAAAAACGAGAGUCUUCUAUUGAAAUGAUGCUCAUAUGUCACCAUAAAUCACAACAGCUACAACAGCUAUAUCGACACAACAACAUGCAGAUUUCAGCCACUAGUAAUGUUUAGAAACAUCAUUUGACAGCUUCAAGUGAGUGGAAAUUCAGCCUCAAAGCAACAACAUUCCAAGGAGACUCAAAUCCAAGUCGGUGUGCCUGCUUGGCAUUGACACCCAGAGAGAUAUAAAUGACACAAGAAAAAGGAUCAUGAUUUUGCCAUUAGAAUGCCAAACUUCAGUAUUUUGGGUGUGCUAAAACAUUUACACAUCACUCACUUACCCAAGUUCAUUUUUUGUA